Molecule: transfer RNA, 69 nt
Filed under: Cryptotermes havilandi
Lineage: Eukaryota; Metazoa; Arthropoda; Insecta; Blattodea; Kalotermitidae
Description: tRNA-Glu
Rfam family: tRNA
About the family: Transfer RNA (tRNA) molecules are approximately 80 nucleotides in length. Their secondary structure includes four short double-helical elements and three loops (D, anti-codon, and T loops).
Source: RNAcentral
AUUUCUGUUCAUGUAGUUUAAUAAAAACAUUACAUUUUCACUGUAAAAAUAAAGAAAAUUUCAUAAACU